GACGAACGCUGGCGGCGUGCUUAACACAUGCAAGUCGAGCGGUAAGGCCCUUUCGGGGGUACACGAGCGGCGAACGGGUGAGUAACACGUGGGUGACCUGCCCUCAGCUCUGGGAUAAGCCUGGGAAACCGGGUCUAAUACCGGAUAUGACUCCAUGACGCAUGUUGUGGGGUGGAAAGCCUUGUGCGGCUGAGGAUGGGCCCGCGGCCUAUCAGCUUGUUGGUGGGGUGAUGGCCUACCAAGGCGACGACGGGUAGCCGGCCUGAGAGGGCGACCGGCCACACUGGGACUGAGACACGGCCCAGACUCCUACGGGAGGCAGCAGUGGGGAAUCUUGCGCAAUGGGCGAAAGCCUGACGCAGCGACGCCGCGUGAGAGAUGACGGCCU
RNAcentral lists this ribosomal RNA (388 nucleotides) under uncultured bacterium. RNAcentral describes it as "bacterial SSU rRNA". It matches the Rfam family "Bacterial small subunit ribosomal RNA", at positions 28 to 417 of the family's 1533-position model. The record is from RNAcentral.